ACCUCGUUGUAGAUUCAGAUACCAAUUCAACACAACUUCCCGCCUUUACAAAUCACUUAUCUACAAUGAAAUGUUUGGCAUCUAGUAUUAGCAACCCAACACCACAAUUCUCUUCCAUAAUUCCAUACUACCAAUAUUUGCAAAACAUUCCAAAAACCAACUUGAACAAUAGGUUUAUGUGUGUAUAUGUAUAUAAUCAUCAUCUCAAUACCACAUCAUCAAUACCACAUCAUCACCCCAAAUUCCUUCACAAUUUAACAUAAUCCAACCAUGCACAAGAAUAAUCCAACAUCAUUUCCAAUCAUCUUUCAACAACAAUCAAAUAACAUACUUCUUAUGCUCACAUGCAUAUAUAUAUAUAUACAUAUCCAUAUAAAUAACACCAACAUAAUUUACAUCCUUACCAUAAAAUGGCCCUUUUGAUUUCGAAGUCCUGUUGGCACAAAUAAGGGGUGCUUCUCGAAGCCCUUGAGAUGGUGAACACAACUACGGAAUCAAUUUGGAUUUUCUACGGUUGAAUCACAAGAUAUUUGGAGUUGAAAUUAGGCUAGGGUUUCUUAUUUUCAAUAAUUUGAUGAUAAUUGAUGGAUAUGAGACUAAUUAUAUGUAUAUAAUGACCAAUUUUCGUCCAUGAGGUGAUGAAAAAUGACCAUAUUGCCCUUAAAAAUUUAUGUAAAUCCGAAUCUGUCCAUGACGGACUGUUUUGAUAGACUAAAGUAAAUCGACCAUAACUCUUUGCUCCGUUAUCGGAUUUGGGUUAAAUUGGUAUCGUUGAAAAGAUAAUUCAAAGGACUUUAAUUUAAUAUAAAGUAGGCCACCCAAUUCGUCUUGUACAGGGAGUUAUGAUCGUUUGAAAUUGACCCUAAAAAUCUGUUUUGAGAGGCUGAAGUAAAACGAGUAUAACUCCUUACUCAGAUGUUGGAUUUGGAUGAAACCAAUUGCAUUGGAAAGAAGACUCAAAGAUAUUUCUUUUGAUAUGUGGUAGCUCUCCCAGUUCAUUAUAUUGAGGGAGUUAUGAUCGUUCAAAGUUGACCCAAAAAACUGGCAGGCCUCAGUAGUUUGUGUGCAGGAAAUUUUCCUGCACAUUUACUGUUCACAACAUUACGGCCACCGUUUUAUAGUUUCGAACGGUCUCGAUUAUAUCCAAAACUUAUCCAUUUUUGAAAAUCUUUAUAUCGUUAGAAAACUUAUUCAAUAACCUUCGUAUGGAACCAUCGACGGGCAAAUUCCGGUAUAAAUAAGGUCAAUUCCUAUACACAUAUAAUCAAACUAUACACUUGAAACCAUCUCAAAAUAAUCAAUACUCAUACUUAAACUCAUAUAUACCUAACUUAGGAUCAAUACAUAUACUCCAACACAUAUAACAAUGGCUAAUGCACGUAAUUAAGUACGGGGUGUUACAGAUUCCUAUCGUGUUUUAAGAGUAAGCUAUAGUAUUAUGUGCUUCCGGCUAGGUUGAGCUAUAAGCAAAUCAGCAAACGUACCGAUUCAUGGUUAAGAAAGUUGCAUCACCUUUGAUACCUAAAUUCUUUCCCCAGAUAAGUUGUCUGUAUCUUCAUUUUUCCUGUGUAAUCUUAUUCUUGGUUAAUAACUGAUUUCAGUAAAAGAGUCUGCUCUAGUAAUCUCCAAUUAUAGAAGUGACAUUGACUGACUUGUUGGAUGGGUUCUAGCUCAGGUGCUUGUCUACUUCAAAUUAAGUUUUUCUAUUUCCUGAAGCAGUGAAUUGUUGCUUUUUCUUGAUGCAUUCAAAAUCCCCCUUUUUUAUGCUUCCAUUUCUUAAGUGAAGAGCCUACAAGUUGUAAUGAAAGGUUGAGAAACUCCCUAGAGCAUAUCGUAACAAAGUGAUCACUAUCUACUCUCAUUCAUUUGAUAAGUUUAAAAAUCCGCGCAUUAUAGGAAAGUAAGUUGUUAUAUUUUCACUCAUUAAAGUACUUGAAUUUUUCACCUUAGUUAGACAUUUUAAUCUUGAGAUUAAAGAAAAAAUUUAGUAUCUUUUACUUAUUUAAAACUUAUAAUAGUUGCUAUCUUCCAUUUCAUCCUUCCUCUCUCGGUUCUCGCUCCAUCUGAUCUUAUGCUUAAAACUAUCUCUGCGGAAAGCAUAUACAGUAAAAUUACUGCAUCCAAGAUCCGACUACAAAUUAAUUUAUUUCUCUGUUUCUUUUGUUCCAAAAAAAUAAAAGAAGAUUUUAAACAAGAAAUUCUGCUAUGUUUAUUCAUUACUUUUUAGCAAUCAAUGACAUCCAUACAUCCAAAAACAGACAACAAAGCUACACAAGAAUAAGAAAUAAUCUCAUAUUCUAACAAAAAAAUACACACAAACGUCACCACAAUAAGCUUAAAAAAAAGAAGGAAGCACACAUAAAUGAGAAGAAUUUUUUUUGAAAAAAAAAUGGUAUUCAAGAAUUUCGCAUUUCAACUUGUAACAGUAGAAAAAUAAGUUAAUUAAAAAAAAUAAAAUAAUGGGUAUUCAAGAAUCCAUUUUAUGCCUUUUAACAUAACAACACAAAGAAAUCAAUAAAAUAAGCCUUUUUUUUUUUAAAAAAAAAAAGUAGAGAGAAAGGUAAUCAAUAAUCUCACUUUCCAACUUAUAACACCACAAAAAGAAAAACUUAAUUUCAUCGAGGGGGGAAGGUUGAAAACAGAUUAGGAAGAAAAUUACCUAUGCGGCUUGUUGAGGAUGAUUGAACAAAUAGCCGAUUAUAAGUAAAAUGGUGCUCUUAUUUAUACAAUUCAAGUGCAGAAAUUUCUGUAUUCUAGAAAAGUCUUUCACUUCAUUUUUGUAGUAAUAAUGGAAUACAGAUGGUUGGUUCUUAGUUUAUAUGUGGCAGAGAAAGCUUGAAAUAUCCUAGAUUUU
RNAcentral lists this long non-coding RNA (2854 nucleotides) under Capsicum annuum. RNAcentral describes it as "long non-coding RNA (CANN_LNC021412)". The record is from RNAcentral. Lineage: Eukaryota; Viridiplantae; Streptophyta; Magnoliopsida; Solanales; Solanaceae.